UGCAACUCGGGAUUAGCAAAUGAUAUCUCC
RNAcentral lists this non-coding RNA (30 nucleotides) under Mus musculus (house mouse). Lineage: Eukaryota; Metazoa; Chordata; Mammalia; Rodentia; Muridae. The record is from RNAcentral.